This 596-nucleotide long non-coding RNA is filed under the name Mytilus galloprovincialis (Mediterranean mussel). Lineage: Eukaryota; Metazoa; Mollusca; Bivalvia; Mytilida; Mytilidae. The record is from RNAcentral.
GCAUUCAAACUUUUUACAAACUUUUUUUUUCAUGAUAAAUGAUUUAAUUGAAAAAUAAUUUCUCCCUAGCAACCAUCUAUACAGUUGUAUGCCUUAGCAACCAAAUCAGUUCCUUAACAACUAUAUUAAAAAGAAUGUUUUUGUUUUGGAAGAAAAUAGUAAUGUAUUGCAAAAAAAAUAAUACAUUUGCCUAAGAUCUACAUUAAAACAUAGCAACCUGUUUUUUGUAUACAUAAGCUACAACAUUAAAAAAUUUGUGUCCAUAACAGUGGUUACAUAAGAUCUCAGCUGCUUCAGAUCAAAAUCAAGACAUCUGUUAACCUUCCCUAUAUUUCCCAUGCACAUUCAAGAACUUUAUGACUUAAAAUAAGAACCACAUAAAAAGCCAAAACUCGUCUUUUAAUCUGUAUUUGAAAGUUUUAAAUUCAAUCAAAAUCUUAUACAUGUACAUUUUUUAACUGCACUUGCAUAUGUUGGAGUUUUAUCAACAAAUGUGUAUAGAGCAUAACACUGAGAAGAAGUGUUUGGACUUUCAAAAAAAUUAGUUAGAAACUUUCAAAUGCAUUAGCGAUUGCAAUCAAAAUUAUUGUUCUAAU